AGAGUUUGAUCCUGGCUCAGAUUGAACGCUGGCGGCAGGCCUAACACAUGCAAGUCGAGCGAUCUCUUCGGAGAGAGCGGCGGACGGGUGAGUAACGCGUGGGUAAUCUGCCCUGUACACACGGAUAACAUACCGAAAGGUAUACUAAUACGGGAUAACAUACGAAAGUCGCAUGGCUUUUGUAUCAAAGCUCCGGCGGUACAGGAUGGACCCGCGUCUGAUUAGCUAGUUGGUAAGGUAAUGGCUUACCAAGGCAACGAUCAGUAGCCGACCUGAGAGGGUGAUCGGCCACACUGGAACUGAGACACGGUCCAAACUCCUACGGGAGGCAGCAGUGGGGAAUAUUGCACAAUGGGCGCAAGCCUGAUGCAGCGACGCCGCGUGAGGGAUGGAGGCCUUCGGGUUGUAAAGCUCUGUCUUCAGGGACGAUAAUGACGGUACCUUUCGAAUAAGCACCGGCUAACUACGUGCCAGCAGCCGCGGUAAUACGUAGGGUGCAAGCGUUAUCCGGAAUUAUUGGGCGUAAAGCGAGCGCAGGCGGUUUUUUAAGUCUGAGGUGAAAGACUGAAGCUUAACUUCAGUAAGCCAUAGAAACCGGGCAGCUAGAGUGCAGGAGAGGAUCGUGGAAUUCCAUGUGUAGCGGUGAAAUGCGUAGAUAUAUGGAAGAACACCAGUGGCGAAGGCGGCUGUCUGGUCUGUAACUGACGCUGAGGCUCGAAAGCAUGGGUAGCGAACAGGAUUAGAUACCCUGGUAGUCCAUGCCGUAAACGAUGAAUGCUAGGUGUUGGAGGGUUUCCGCCCUUCAGUGCCGCAGCUAACGCAUUAAGCACUCCGCCUGGGGAGUACGACCGCAAGGUUGAAACUCAAAGGAAUUGACGGGGGCCCGCACAAGCGGUGGAGCAUGUGGUUUAAUUCGAAGCAACGCGAAGAACCUUACCAGGUCUUGACAUCCUUUGACCACUCUAGAGAUAGAGCUUCUCCUUCGGGGGCAAAGUGACAGGUGGUGCAUGGUUGUCGUCAGCUCGUGCUGGGAGAUGUUGGGUUAAGUCCCGCAACGAGCGCAACCCUUAUUACUAGUUGCCAGCAUUUAGUUGGGCACUCUAGUGAGACUGCCGGUGACAAACCGGAGGAAGGUGGGGACGACGUCAAAUCAUCAUGCCCCUUAUGACCUGGGCUACACACGUGCUACAAUGGAUGGUACAACGAGUUGCGAGACCGCGAGGUUUAGCUAAUCUCUUAAAACCAUUCUCAGUUCGGAUUGUAGGCUGCAACUCGCCUACAUGAAGCCGGAAUCGCUAAUAAUCGCGGAUCAGCAUGCCGCGGUGAAUACGUUCCCGGGCCUUGCACACACCGCCCGUCA
This 1360-nucleotide ribosomal RNA is filed under the name human gut metagenome. RNAcentral's name for it is "bacterial SSU rRNA". It matches the Rfam family "Bacterial small subunit ribosomal RNA". The record is from RNAcentral.